ACGGCUCAGUAACACGUCGACAAUCUGCCUUUAGGCCAGGGAUAACGUCGGGAAACUGACGCUAAAACCUGAUAGAGGAUUUCUACUGGAAUGUGUUUUCCUUCAAAGCUUCGGCACCUAAAGAUGAGUCGGCGGCUGAUUAGGCUGUUGGUGAGGUAACGGCUCACCAAACCUUUGAUCAGUAGGGGGGAUGAAAGUCCUAACCCCGAGAAGGGCACUGAGAUACUGGCCCUAGUCCUAAGGGAUGCAGCGGCCACGGGACCUUUACAAUGCACGAAAGUGUGAUAAGGGGAUUCCAAGUGCUUUACCACACGGUAAGGCUUUUGCUAAGCGAAAACAACUUGGCGAAUAAGUGGUGGGUAAGACCGGUGCCAGCAGCCGCGGUAAUCCCGGCGCCACAAGUGGCAAUCAUUAUUAUUGGGUCUAAAGCAUCCGUAGCUGGUUUAGUUAGUUUUCUGUGAAAUUGUUAGGCUUAACCUAACAACGUGCAGGAAAUACUGCUAGACUUGAGACCGGGAGGGGAUAGAAGUAUUCCUGGGGGAGCGGUAAAAUGUGUUAAUCCUAGGAGGACUACCUAUGGCGAAGGCAUCUAUCCAGAACGGGUCUGACAGUGGAGGGAUGAAGGCUAGGAGAACGAUCGGGAUUAGAUACCCCAGUAGCCCUAGCAGUAAACGCUGUGAGCUAUGUGUUGCAUAUUCUCCGGAAUGUGCAGUGCCGAAGCGAAGNCAUUAAGCUCACCACCUGGGNAAGUACGGUCGCAAGAUUGAAACUUAAAGGAAUUGGCGGGGG
RNAcentral lists this ribosomal RNA (789 nucleotides) under uncultured archaeon. RNAcentral describes it as "bacterial SSU rRNA". It matches the Rfam family "Archaeal small subunit ribosomal RNA", at positions 85 to 874 of the family's 1478-position model. The record is from RNAcentral.